This 187-nucleotide ribosomal RNA is filed under the name uncultured bacterium. RNAcentral describes it as "partial 16S ribosomal RNA". It matches the Rfam family "Bacterial small subunit ribosomal RNA", at positions 1315 to 1500 of the family's 1533-position model. The record is from RNAcentral.
ACUGCAUGAAGUCGGAAUCGCUAGUAAUCGCAGAUCAGCAAAGCUGCGGUGAAUACGUUCCCGGGCCUUGUACACACCGCCCGUCACACCAUGGGAGUCGGGAAUGCCCGAAGUCAGUGACCCAACCGAAAGGGGGGAGCUGCCGAAGGCAGGCCUGGUAACUGGGGUGAAGUCGUAACAAGGUACC